Molecule: long non-coding RNA, 2913 nt
Filed under: Homo sapiens (human)
Lineage: Eukaryota; Metazoa; Chordata; Mammalia; Primates; Hominidae
Description: PREDICTED lncRNA (TCONS_00231949)
Source: RNAcentral
GUACAACUACCUUGCUGAUGCUGUACAUAUGGCUCACUUGUGCCCAGAGAGAGAAUAAAGCCAUGUCGAAACUAUCUACGAUUCCUUGAGUGUUUUUCCAGCUACCUGCCACUUGCCCACCCACUCCCCUCAGAUCUCAGUUAGAACAUGACAAUUGGGCUCAUGAACAGGAUCCUGAGUGGUUGCAGGUGAACAAGCAGUUGGCACAAGGGCAAAGUGAUCACAUCCUGAUUGAGUGGCUAUGGACAGCCAUACAGACUGUGUGGAACAACGCUGGUGAAAUACCCAAACCGUCCCAGAACAAUGCCUGGCAUGCAAUAAAUAUUUGUUGAAUGAAUGAAAAAUGGUUAUCAAUAGGCAGGGCAACAUCCACGUGAAAGGUAAGCCAAAAAAGAGUAUUCACCACUACAUGACCAAGUAGGCAGUGCCCAAUUAUGGGGGAUCCAGGACAGGCUACAAGCAGACAGCACUAGAAAAGUCUGCCAGCAGUUAGCAAGGCUUCAGCACUGCUGACAUGUUAGGAAAAAAAAGAAAGACUGAGGUUAAGAAGGGUUCAGGCCCAGAGGCCAUGGCCAAACCCAAUUUUUAGAAGUAGGCCUUAUUCCUGAGGCUAGCAGCAAGGCUGUCUUGAUGCUGAUUUCCAAGUACGCAAAAGCCCCCUAAAUUCCUCCUGUCUAACCUGUCUUCUGAUUCUAACCUAAAGAUUUGAAAUGCCAUUUCCCAAAAAUCUAUCAGUCAUAGUUUUUCUUUAGAAUCAAAAGACGAACUAAAGGCUUUUUGAGAAAUUUCUCUGUAAUCCUUCCUUUGUGUCCAAGCAGAGCCCCCACACAGUAAAGCACAAAACUGGAUUCAAAGAUUUAGCUAGCAGCCAUGGUAACUAGGGUCCCUGUAGAGUGACCCAUGGGUAGUGAUGUUUCAGAGCCCUGGGGAGCAGACCAAGUAGGACCUGAUUAUUUUUUAGAGCGAAACUCUAAUUGGCCUAUAUUUCCUAAGUUUUGCAUUUGCUAAGUAAAUUUUUAGAGGGUGAGGGUAUGUAGAAUAUAAAUAUUAAAAACAAAGAAUAAAAGAGUUUUUACAGGCAAAGUAACUAGUCAGGUGUCACAUUUUCUUGCAAUUGACAAACACCACUUCUUGCUUGGAAGGCUGCAUCUUUAGUUCCUAACUCAAUGCCUGGUAGGAGACAAUAAAAUGUAUUGAAUGGGUGAAUAAAUGAAUGAAAUAGCUAGUCAAUUAAGUUCAUUUCACCAUGUUUUGUCUAUUCCAAUUUUUUGUGUCAGAAUUGAUGAUUUGAAUGUAACUCAAAGUCUUGAGAGGUGCCUCAUUGCUUAUUUGACUCAAGGGAUCAAUCAGUGAUAGGGUCCCCUGCUUAAGGAACAACAGAAUGCUGCUAAGAGGUCAGGUACAAAUAUGAUGUUCCAUUGACUUACAAAGUCAUUUUUCUCUACUAUAUUUUUUAAAGGCCUUGAGUAAAAAUCCUUGAAAGAGCUCUUUAAAAAGACUGUGUCAUGUACCAAUCAUAUGGCAGUUGAGGUACUUUCAGUGUAGAAAAUAGUGAAAAUAAACAAAGAUUUAAAAAUCUACUACAAAUUACAUAAUACUUUUCAUCUAUAACUUUUAAAUCAAAACACAAAAACAUUUGUAAAAAAGUAAUACACAUAUGUAAGAGACAUACUUAUGUUAUGAUUAAGAUCGUAGACUUUGAGAUUAAAUGACCUGGAUUUGAAGACCAGUUUAUCCAUUUCCUGGUCUCAUGAUCUUCAGCAAUUUGCUUAACCUCUCUGAGACUGAGUUGCCUCACCUGUAAAAUGGGGGUCAUAAUUACACCUACCUCAUAGCAUUUUUAUGAGGAUUAAAUGAGAUAAUGUGUGCAAAGGGCUUAGUACAGUACAGAGUAUAAGUACAGUAACUAUUAACAUUUAUUCAGCUUAUUAACAUACAUACUUUAUGUAAAUAUUAAUUCACUUGUUCUUGCAGUAAUUUGGUGACUUCUCAGGCAUCUGAAACACACAGAUUGAAAAACACUGCUGGAUUCAGUAGGAACUGGGACAAAGGGUAUCUUCAGAAAGAAUAAUGGAGACCUGUGUUGUUGCUGAAGGAGAUGGAGCUUGGGACUUGGAAGACUGGCAGAGCUGCUUCUCCUUAGGAGCUCUGGCUGCUACUGGAGCAGCCCCAGGAAGGCUCUGUCACUAGGAACAAGAGCUACCACUAACUGAGUUAGUCCCUGGGAGCUGGACACUGCUGCUGACAAGUACUGCCAAGAUGGUCCGUGGUGGUCUGCCUCUGGGACCCUGCUGACUACACACAACAAUUGAGGCUUACAAAAGAGGAACUAAGAAAAUCCAAAGAUUUGGAAGUGUCUGACCCUUUCUUCCCUUUAUGGCUUCUCACUUGCACAGAAGAAUUUCAGCCCAACUCUCCAUGCAACAUCCAAUAGGGGACAAAAUACUAUGCUCUAUCAUUACACCCUCAUUGAGGAGGGUCAAUAAUCAUUUCUCACCAAGAAAGUAGGAGGUCAGAAAGUGGAUGAGGAAUCAACCUAGUUUAGAGGAUUGAUCUAGAAUCUUGUCCUCAGGCUUCUAGGGAAUUAUCUGAGUCUUUUAUCUAAGACAAAUGCAACAGUUUUCUUUCCAAAUGCUCAGAAAAAUAGUGAUGAUGAUGAUGAUGAUGAUGUUCAUUUGUAUACAUUUACAUGCAACCACAGCAUUGUUUUUAUUAUAAUACCUUAGCAAUAACUAAUGAGAACAUGUUAGGUGAUGUUAAAUAAAAUAAUUUUUUCCCAAAGACUGAGAACAGAGUUUCUUGGUUCGAAUCCCAGGUCUACCACCAAGUAGCUUUUCUCGAGGCUCAAUUUUGUCAUCUAAAAAUGAAGUGGUAGAAGCAGAGGUUCUCGAGGUCACUUUCAGCUCUUCUAGC